UGGGGAAUAUUGCACAAUGGACGGAAGUUUGAUGCAGCGACGCCGCGUGGAGGGUGUAGGCCUCCGGGUUGUGAACUCCUUUUUCUCGCGAAAAAGGCACAGUUUUGGCUGUGUUGAUGGUAGUGGGGGAAGAAGCGCCGGCUAACUACGUGCCAGCAGCCGCGGUAAUACGUAGGGCGCGAGCGUUGUCCGGAUUUAUUGGGCGUAAAGAGCUCGUAGGUGGUUCGUCGCGUCUGUCGUGAAAGCCAGCAGCUUAACUGUUGGUCUGCGGUGGGUACGGGCGGGCUUGAGUGCGGUAGGGGUGACUGGAAUUCCUGGUGUAGCGGUGGAAUGCGCAGAUAUCAGGAGGAACACCGAUGGCGAAGGCAGGUCACUGGGCCGUUACUGACACUGAGGAGCGAAAGCGUGGGGAGCGAACAGG
RNAcentral lists this ribosomal RNA (421 nucleotides) under Fusobacteriota bacterium. RNAcentral describes it as "Fusobacteria bacterium partial 16S ribosomal RNA". It matches the Rfam family "Bacterial small subunit ribosomal RNA", at positions 355 to 776 of the family's 1533-position model. Lineage: Bacteria; Fusobacteriati; Fusobacteriota. The record is from RNAcentral.